UAAACCUUAAUGAAAAUUGAAAAAAAAAGACUUUUUGUAGAUUUUUAAAAUCACAAAUGUAAUUUUUUUCAAACUUGUGUACGUCAUAUGCUUUUUAAUAACACAGCCACGUCUGAACUUCAUUGCUGUCAUGUGGUUUGGCUGGGCAUGUGGUUUUGUUGCAGCCAGCUCUGGUGAAAGUGAAUUUGGAGCUGCUGCAUGUAGUCUAUGGAGCAGGUGUCGUCCUGAAGUGUGCAAGCAUUACCUAAAGUGCAACAGCAAUUGAAGAAUUCUCGAAAUGGACUUGGUGGCAAUGGUAUGCAUCAGACUGCUGUGCACAGUCUAUAGAUCUGGUGUGUCAUCCUGAAACUUAUAAGCCAGACCUGAAGUGGAAUUGCAAAAAGACUUCUUGAAAUGGUUUAACAGCCAGGUAAAAUCUCUUCUUCAUUGCUGUCUCACAAGUCACAACAUAUGGUUUUUUGGUUUCGGCCAGCCGGGUCAAGACUGCAAGAUGUUGUCUAAUCAGGUUCUGCUGUUGCAUGGAGUCUGUGAUGCCGCUGGUGAUCUGACAAAUAUUGUUGUGCUUGUUUCUGAUAAGUGUGUUGUUUGAAGUAGUCUAUGAUGUAGACAAGUGCAUAUUAUCUUCUUUUCUGGGCUCCCUUCUGUUCUGUGACCCCGUUACCCUUUCCUAUGACUAAUCGCUCCCCAGCAAAUCUGGUCUCGCACUGCUCUCUUCUUUCCUUGUCCAGGUCAUCUCCCUGGGCACAGUCAAUCAAUGCAGUCUCCCCCUGUCUUGAUAGACUGAAUUUUGCAUGGAAAAUUCAACAUUGAUAAUAUUAAGUUAAAGAAGGUAAAAUUGAUAUUUGUGAUAAGGAAUGAUAAACAUGUACAGUACAUAAUAGUAUAAAUAAGAUUUAAACAGCUGCAUUUUCUU
RNAcentral lists this long non-coding RNA (913 nucleotides) under Daphnia pulicaria. Its description in RNAcentral is "uncharacterized LOC124342265, transcript variant X2". Lineage: Eukaryota; Metazoa; Arthropoda; Branchiopoda; Diplostraca; Daphniidae. The record is from RNAcentral.